ACGGAAGGCAGCAGUGGGGAAUAUUGGGCAAUGGGCGAAAGCCUGACCCAGCGACGCCGCGUGAGGGAAGAAGGUCUUCGGAUUGUAAACCUCUUUCAGCAGGGAAGAAGCAAGUGACGGUACCUGCAGAGGAAGUCACAGCUAACUACGUGCCAGCAGCCGCGGUAAUACGUAGGUGGCGAGCGUUAUCCGGAAUUACUGGGUGUAAAGGGUGUGUAGGCGGAGAAGCAAGUCAGGCGUGAAAUUUCCGGGCUCAACCCGGAAACUGCGCUUGAAACUGUUUCCCUUGAGAGUGGGAGAGGUAAACGGAAUUCCUGGUGUAGUAGUGAAAUGCGUAGAUAUCAGGAGGAACACCGGUGGCGAAGGCGGUUUACUGGACCACAACUGACGCUGAGACACGAAAGCGUGGGGAGCAAACAGGAUUAGAUACCCUGGUA
RNAcentral lists this ribosomal RNA (437 nucleotides) under uncultured Oscillospiraceae bacterium. RNAcentral's name for it is "bacterial SSU rRNA". It matches the Rfam family "Bacterial small subunit ribosomal RNA", at positions 341 to 792 of the family's 1533-position model. Lineage: Bacteria; Bacillati; Bacillota; Clostridia; Eubacteriales; Oscillospiraceae. The record is from RNAcentral.